This 202-nucleotide ribosomal RNA is filed under the name uncultured bacterium. Its description in RNAcentral is "partial 16S ribosomal RNA". It matches the Rfam family "Bacterial small subunit ribosomal RNA", at positions 524 to 725 of the family's 1533-position model. The record is from RNAcentral.
UACGUAGGGUGCGAGCGUUAAUCGGAAUUACUGGGCGUAAAGCGUGCGCAGGCGGCGCGUAAGACAGGUGUGAAAGCCCCGGGCUUAACUUGGGAAUUGCGCUUGUGACUGGCGUGCUGGAGUGUGGCAGAGGGAGGUGGAAUUCCGACAUGUAGCAGUGAAAUGCGUAGAGAUGUGGAGGAACACCGAUGGCGAAGGCAGC